CCUACGGGAGGCAGCAGUGGGGAAUAUUGGGUAAUGGGCGCAAGCCUGACCCAGCAACGCCGCGUGAAGGAAGAAGGCUCUCGGGUUGUAAACUUCUUUUGUCAGGGACGAAACAAAUGACGGUACCUGACGAAUAAGCCACGGCUAACGACGUGCCAGCAGCCGCGGUAAUACGUAGGUGGCAAGCGUUAUCCGGAUUUACUGGGUGUAAAGGGAGUGUAGGAGGGAGAGCAAGUCAGAUGUGAAAUUCCAGGGCUCAACCCUGGAACUGCAUUUGAAACUGUUUUUCUUGAGUGAUGGAGAGGCAGGCGGAAUGCGGGGUGUAGCGGUGAAAUGCGUAGAUAUUAGGAGGAACACCAGUGGCGAAGGCGGCUUACUGGACUGUAACUGACGUUGAGGCUCGAAAGCGUGGGGAGCAAACAGGAUUAGAUACCCGAGUAGUC
This 443-nucleotide ribosomal RNA is filed under the name uncultured bacterium. RNAcentral describes it as "partial 16S ribosomal RNA". It matches the Rfam family "Bacterial small subunit ribosomal RNA", at positions 338 to 795 of the family's 1533-position model. The record is from RNAcentral.